This 294-nucleotide long non-coding RNA is filed under the name Musa acuminata (dwarf banana). Its description in RNAcentral is "long non-coding RNA (MACU_LNC005772)". The record is from RNAcentral. Lineage: Eukaryota; Viridiplantae; Streptophyta; Magnoliopsida; Zingiberales; Musaceae.
AUCAACUCAGCCAUGAAGGACUCUAUCAGCAAGCAGCUGCUCCGACUGCGCCUCAAUGGCUCAACCAAUCAUUUCAAGCAAUAGCAUGACAAGCUUGCAGAAUGAGGUCGGCGACGGCCGGUUUACAGGUGACCUAGAAUCAGCUCUGCGGGCGAAGGGCAGCGCCUCGGCCUUGGCUCAGUUGGUUUUGGUCACUGGUCUCCAUUGAGCCAUUGAUGAUGUGUUUCGGAUUGUUCAUGCGCAAGGAUUUGGAUUUUCGUCAAGAACUCAGCAUGGUCGAUCAUUUGUGGAUUA